RNAcentral lists this non-coding RNA (93 nucleotides) under Desulfacinum hydrothermale. RNAcentral describes it as "c-di-GMP sequence". It matches the Rfam family "c-di-GMP-I riboswitch aptamer". Rfam says of the family: GEMM was predicted in a large-scale screen for bacterial structured RNA regulatory elements. Genes associated with GEMM are involved in a diverse array of functions, including chemotaxis regulation, signal transduction, secretion and chitin. The record is from RNAcentral. RNAcentral also lists the same sequence under 1 other name. Lineage: Bacteria; Pseudomonadati; Thermodesulfobacteriota; Syntrophobacteria; Syntrophobacterales; Syntrophobacteraceae.
GUCUGUAAAGGGCAAACCGCUCGAAAGAGCGGGACGCAAAGCCACUGGCCUACGUUCCGAGCCCCCUCGGAAUAGGGUCGCAGAGCUGCCAGG